AGGACGAACGCUUGCGGCGUGCCUAAGAAAUGCAAGUCGAACGGAUCAAGUAGCAAUACUUGGUUAGUGGCGAACGGUCGCGUAACACGUAAGAAACCUGCCUCAAAGUGGGGGACAACAUCCUGAAAGGGGUGCUAAUACCGCAUGUGGCCAACGGGGGGCAUCCCCUGUUGUCUAAAGGAAUUUAUUUCGCUUUGAGAUGGUCUUGCGGCCUAUCAGGUAGUUGGUGGGGUAACGGCCUACCAAGCCUUCGACGGGUAGCUGGUCUGAGAGGACGAUCAGCCGGAUUGGGACUGAGAUACGGCCCAGACUCCUACGGGGGGCAGCAAUUAGGAAUCUUGCACAAUGGGCGAAAGCCUGAUGCAGCGACGCCGCGUGAAGGAUGAAGGUUCUCGGAUCGUAAACUUCUUUUGACAGGGAAGAAAUUUGACGGUACCUGUCGAAUAAGCCCCGGCUAACUACGUGCCAGCAGCCGCGGUAAUACGUAGGGGGCGAGCGUUGUCCGAAGUUACUGGGCGUAAAGCGCGCGUAGGCGGUUUUUUAAGUCUGGGGUGAAAGGUUCAGCGCUCAACGUGAACAUUGCCUUGGAAACUGGACAACUUGAGUUUGGGAGGGGGUAGCGGAAUUCCUGGUGUAGCGGUGAAAUGCGUAGAUAUCAGGAGGAACACCGAUGGCGAAGGCAGCUACCUGGCCUAAAACUGACGCUGAGGCGCGAAAGCGUGGGGAGCAAACGGGAUUAGAUACCCCGGUAGUCCACGCCGUAAACGAUGAGUGCUAGGUGUUCGAGGUAUCGACCUCUCGGGUGCCGUCGCUAACGCAGUAAGCACUCCG
This 831-nucleotide ribosomal RNA is filed under the name uncultured bacterium. RNAcentral's name for it is "bacterial SSU rRNA". It matches the Rfam family "Bacterial small subunit ribosomal RNA", at positions 26 to 871 of the family's 1533-position model. The record is from RNAcentral.